UAGGGAAUCUUCCACAAUGGACGAAAGUCUGAUGGAGCAACGCCGCGUGAGUGAAGAAGGUUUUCGGAUCGUAAAGCUCUGUUGUUGGUGAAGAAGGAUAGAGGCAGUAACUGGUCUUUAUUUGACGGUAAUCAACCAGAAAGUCACGGCUAACUACGUGCCAGCAGCCGCGGUAAUACGUAGGUGGCAAGCGUUGUCCGGAUUUAUUGGGCGUAAAGCGAGCGCAGGCGGAAUGAUAAGUCUGAUGUGAAAGCCCACGGCUCAACCGUGGAACUGCAUCGGAAACUGUCAUUCUUGAGUGCAGAAGAGGAGAGUGGAACUCCAUGUGUAGCGGUGGAAUGCGUAGAUAUAUGGAAGAACACCAGUGGCGAAGGCGGCUCUCUGGUCUGCAACUGACGCUGAGGCUCGAAAGCAUGGGUAGCGAACAGGAUUAGAUACCCUGGUAGUCCAUGCCGUAAACGAUGAGCGCUAGGUGUUGGGGACUUUCCGGUCCUCAGUGCCGCAGCAAAU
This 510-nucleotide ribosomal RNA is filed under the name uncultured bacterium. RNAcentral's name for it is "partial 16S ribosomal RNA". It matches the Rfam family "Bacterial small subunit ribosomal RNA", at positions 355 to 856 of the family's 1533-position model. The record is from RNAcentral.